ACAUACUGAAGGCAUCUUUGACUUCAACAUCGGCUCUAACAAAUGGUCUGCGUCACUUGCUAACUGAUGUUAAGCAAAAGAAAUUAUCAGAAGAGGAAAUCAGAAGAGUAAACAUUUUGGUUUGAUGAUUUUACAAUUCUAGCAUUAUUGUUUAAGAUAUUUAUGUUUUUCCUAGUUCUGAAUCUAGCAAGACUCUUAUCUUUUUGUUGGUAAUAGUGUUGUUUACAUUUCCAGCAUAUCAAAUCACUACUGCAUCCGUUCCCUCAUAGGCUUUGUCUAACAUGCACCACCACAUUAAGUGGUGCAUGAUGCACAAGUUCGUGAUACCAUUAUAAUGAAUUCGAAUUUUAUAAAAUUCACCGUUAGAUUGAAAGUUUGUAUCGUAUAGAUCAUUCUUGUCAAUUUUUAAAAGGAUUGAAAAUUAUUUGAUGUGUCAUUGAGACUCAUCAUGAUUAACGGUAUUUAAUAAAAGCUCAUAAACCGUUAAUCUUGAUGGGUCUCAAUGACAUAUCAAAUAAUUUUCAAUUUUUUUAAAAUUUGACAUGGAUGAUCUAUAUGAUACAAACUUUCAAUCCAACGGUAGAUUUUGUAAAAUUUAUAUUCGUUAUAACAAUAACACUAACUUAUGCACCAUACACCACUUAAUGUGGUUGUGCAUGUUAUGUUUGGCCUCCAUCAUAUUGAACUUGAAUUUCAUUUGUUGAAGUUCAAAUGCCGUGAAUUAUUUUAGUAAAAAAUUAAUAUUUCUUUGCUUAGAGGAAUCCCAUUUUUCUUUCUGUCAAUGCUGGUCCAUUUUAUCUCUUCUGUUGUUGCAGUUGAGCAUUUUUAAGAUACUCAGCAUCAUAUAGAAUAAACAUGAUUAAUUAGUAUAAGAAAAUGUAAAUGUCCUCGUUAUUGU
This 898-nucleotide long non-coding RNA is filed under the name Trifolium pratense (red clover). Its description in RNAcentral is "long non-coding RNA (TPRA_LNC008387)". The record is from RNAcentral. Lineage: Eukaryota; Viridiplantae; Streptophyta; Magnoliopsida; Fabales; Fabaceae.